CUGAACUUCUUGUGGCUGUGCUGACAUCAGUAAGAGUUGGAGAAAGUAUACAUUUAAGAAAAUGUAUACAUUCCCACCCACAGGAUAUUAAGAUUUUGAUUCUGCAUUCUGAGAUUUCAAAGCUGGAGUUGAUAUUUUCAAAUAAACAGUUCUUUAAGAGACACAGGAACAUCUUACGUUAGGACCACGCCACGAAGGGGCUGUUUUUAAAAAGGAUUGUGAGUGAUUGUAUCCUAUGCUCAGAUGCUCAAUCUAAGGCUGUGGUGUUUGGCAGAAAUCAGUGAUUUUUUUAGAACACUGGAAGGUGCCCACAACUGGCAUGGGUGUAUUAUUUGUCACUUCAAAGCACCUAUGGACAGUCCUUUGCUUUUCCAUACAAGAGUGAGCUUAGGAAUACUUUGCUUCAUUCUAGAUCAGGCUGCCUGUAGGUAUAGACCCUUUCCUCUGAUGCCUUAUUGCCAGUGACAUUAAAUACAGUAUAUGAUAAGAGUUUAUUAGUACUGUACUUUAGUCAACAUUCGUGCAAUCGUAUAUGAUGGCCCCCAAGCAGAAGAUUUCAAUAGAUGGCAGUGAUCCCAUUAGUGAUCGUGAAAGUCGUCCUACACAAUAACCCUCCUCUCUCUUGUCUACCUCGCACCUGCCACGAAGGUUUUCAAAGGUAAGUGUAGGUUCCUUUGUUUAUUUUACUUUGUAUUUUCUUUAUUAUUUUGUAUUAUAUUACAGUACUAUGAUUAUUUUUAUGUGAAUAUAUUUGGGUUGUAGAAUGAAUCAUCUGCGUUUCCAUUAUUUCUUAUGGGGAAAUUUGCUUUGAUAUACAAGUGUUUUGGAUUACAAGCAAGUUUCUGGAACGAAUUAUGCUCACAAACCAAGGUUUUAUGAACAUCACAUAUAGAUCAAGAUGGGUAAAAUUCCACAGUCAUCUUCAGACAUUUGCUCAUUGCUUUCUCAAGACUUUCUUAGGAUUCUGUUUCCAGGAACAGAAUUUCUGGUCAAAGGUAUGGGCAUUAGCAUUUUGAUGGAUCUUGCCAAACUUCUGGUGAUAGCUUAAGAAGCUAUUGCUUUUUCUCCUGAAUUGUUGCCAACGGUGGAUUGAAUACAAUUUUUUUAGAAGUCUUUGCUAGUUUGAUGAGUUAUCAGACCCUUAACCAUUCAUUGCCUGGCUCUCCAGGUCUUGAUCCAUAUCCAGGGCUCUUGUGUGGCUUCUCAUGAAUCUGGUGUUAUAAUAAUAAAGACUUUAAAACCCCGUUGUCUUUCUCAAGGGCAUUUCUUAUUACUUAAAAAGAUGUUUAGGUCUUACUGCUUGGGUCUCCAUAGUGGUCUGCAUCCUGGACAACUAGAGCGGGAGACUCUUCCAAAUUGAUGGUGAUAAGAGUGCAAGGCAAUUGGAAGGUAGACUUUUUUGGACAAGGCAUAGGACCAGAUUCCGUGGCUUGACUUCCAGCCCGUAAAGAUGAACUAACACGUGGGACUUUGUUUUUGAAUCCCGCUAUCCAGCAUUUUGUUGAGAGAACCCAUGCAAUAUAGGCCAAGUUUCUGUUCCAUCGUUAGCUUCUGGUAUAGAGACGUCUCUGCCAUGAAGUUGAACUGCGUACCACUGACUGGCAUUACUCCGGGGAAAAUGACAUCACAAGGAAUGGGUGGGCUAGUUCCGAGACUUGUGCAUUUUUCGUGGUUUCUACCUCCUCAUUCCACUGCUGCUGACACCUGGAAUCCUCUCGACAUCCAGCGUUUAAUCAGACAGAUACCUCUGCAAUCAUUACUCUCAUUUCUUCGUUAGAAUGUGAGCUAUUUAAGGUCACCAAAUCUUUGUAAAUGAUCUUCAUAUUUCCCACACUCCCGAAGGACUUAUUUGGGAUUCAAGAGAUACUGAAUGAAUUAACUUUUAACUGUGACUCAUGCUUCUAAGGAGAAAUGCAGGCAUAUCAAAGGUAUAACAGAUUUCUAAGCUUUUUCUCAUUUUAUUGUCAUCAAGCAUAUUCAGACUACUUUCCAUUUUCUUAUACCUCAAAGCUUUCCCAAACAGCAUAGAAGGAAAACAUGACAAGCCCUGGCCAUCAUUCCCCAGGGCAUAAGUCCAUUUUACAUCCCAGAAAGUUGGUGAUGCUCAGAAUGCAUCUGGUAUCCAGUGAUUCAAAGAUGUCAUUUUUCCUUCUAUCUCGGGAGUGUUCUGGUUCUUUGGUUAUGGCCUCACCGUGCCAUGAUGCUGAUGCAUUCUUUUGUUUCAAAGGUUUGGUCCCUUCCCCCAUUUGGAGGCAAGUACGUAUUCAAGGUACUAUUUGAUAGAGUGCUCUUUGUAAUAUUACCUGGGGAUGUCAUGAAAGAGUGCUAGAAUAGUUUAUAUAAUUUAUUUUCCCUGGAAAACACAUUUAGUACCCUCUUAAAUAGUCUUGGGUUUAGAACCAUUUUCAAAAGAAGAAGGUCAAGAUGACGUCUAGUCUUAAGACUAUGUUAUCACCUUUGAACCAGGUCCACUUGAAAGGAUUCAUUCAGUUUGGGGUCCAGAACCAUGAGCAGAAAAAAAAUGAGGGCUGGGUUUAUUUUUCUCUUCGUGCCUUUGACAAUACAGCCUUUGUUGGAAUAUUUAUAUUUGUAAUCAUUUCCUUGCCUUGCACCAAAUAACAAUUGUGGAUUGAUACCUACUUUUUUCCAUCUUGAUUCUGGAAUUCCAGGCAACGACUAGAGGUAAUAACUCAUGAAAUUUGAUCUACAGGAAGUCUAUUACUUCAUAAAAAUUAGAGAAAGAUACAUAGAACAAAGUGUUUUUCUGGACAUAAUGGGAUAUUUUGAAUGUAUAAUCAUACCUUUGGUUUAUGUCAGUGGUUCUCAGACCUGUGUGAACAUCAGAAACCCCUAAGGUGCUUUAAUAAUAAUGAUAAUAGUAAUAAUAAUAAUAAUAAUAAUAAUAAAAUGAUAAAUAACAAGGCUAAGAUCCAAGCCAAAUAUUCUGAUUCAAUUUGGGGGAUGGACACUGAUAUUUUUAAAACCCUUAAGUGAUUCUAGUAUGCAGUUUGAUGAAAACCAUUUAUCUGUGUAACAAUACCCCCCUAUAUUCUGAUUCUGUCUUUUACUAUUUCUGUAACAAUUCUGUGCUGGUUUUCUUAGUUUCCUGAAGCAUUUGUGACAUUGCAUCUCUCAAAUCUCCUUUAUGCUAAAAUAAGAAAAUUGCUUAUAAUUAUAAAGUAGAAAUUUUAUUGUUGCUAUACAUUUUCUCUCAGAAUAGGUUUUCAAGAGGUGAACUGACCGUCACUCAAGUAUGUGGGGAAUGCAAUGAUUUCUUUGGUUUCUCUGGUUUUCUCAAGGCCUUGUACAGAGGUCCUCAGACACUGUGAAACCUAGCAAUUAUCUGCUGAUAAAUAUAUGCAGUCUUGCUCAGGAGAUGCCAACUCAGCGAUCUGCUUUUAGCCAGCGAGAAACAACUUUAAUCCCUUGCUGAGAUGAGUUUCUCCUAACCCGAUGCUCUUCAAAAUCAAUCACCUCUUGUGUUACCUAGUCACUGUCUGCUUCUCAGCUGCAUUUGGCCUGUGGGUCUUUGGGAAGGCCACGUGACCUUUCUUCUCUGUAAAAAUGAGAGAGAGAGAGAUGAUGGGGGCUUUCCAAGACACUUUUAUUUAAAGUUUAUUUAUUUAUUUUGAGAGAGAGAGAGAGAACACAUGGGAGGGGCAGAGAGAGGGAGAGAGAGAAUCUCAAGCAGGCUCUGCACCAUCAGCACAGAGCCCAGUGUAGGGCUGGAACCCACGAACCAUGAGAUCAUGACCUGAGCCAAAACCAAGAGUUGGUCACUCAACUCACUGAGCCACCCAGGCGCCCCUCCAAGAUACCCUUUUAACUUUAGGGUCAAUGAACUAUGAUCCAAAUAAACACUUCAAUUGGCAGCCCAGUGAACAUUAUUCAAACCUAACAGCAAGAAGAAUAGCCUUCGUCUUUUCUGUAAUUUUAAUCAAUCAAUCAAUUUAUUUAUUUAUUUUCACUUAUGUUUACCAGUUUAUUAUAUAACAAAGGUAUAAUAAAGGAUCGGGAUAGAUUUUUCUGUACAGCUAAUUAUAGCCAAGCCUUGUUGUUAUGAAGGGCUGUGGACACCUAGUAUGUGCACAUACAUAGAGCAAUUCCUUUAAAAAUACAGAACUGACAACAUCUAAGGCCUGAAGCUGGCCGUCAUAGGAGUUAUACUGUUUUAUCAGACACAGGUCCUGGUCUUUAGAAGUUCCCUAUAUUUUAUUAGGGAGCUAAGACAGGUACACAGAACAGAAAAUACAGAGUCACAAGUCUGAGAUUGGUACAUGCUAAUCUUAGCAGUUUCAGGGAAACUGAAACGAGCAUGAGAUGUAGAGAAUCCUGAGCAAAUGAAAAGUCCUCCAGCAACUCUCCCAGCACCCGUUCUUGCCAUUGCAAUCACUCUAACCUUUGAAAAGCUAUUUUUUGAGAUAACUGUAGACUCACAUGCCAUUGUAAGAAAUAAUACAGAGGGACCCCACACACCAUUUAUCCAGUUUCCACUAAUGGUAAUUUACGAAACUUGCAAAACUAUAGUACAAUAUCAGAACCAGUAUAUUGACAUUGAUACAAUCCACCAGUAUUCAGAUUUUCCCAGUUUUACUUCAACUAGGGUGUGUGAGUGUGUGUGUGUGUGUGUGUGUGUGUGUGUGUCUAGUUCUCUGCAACCUUACAUCUGUAGGUUUCUUACCCACCAUCAUAUUCAUGAUGCCGAACAGUUCCAUCACCACACAAUCCUUAUCUUUGCUCUUUUAUAACCACUCACUUCUUUUCCUUACCCACUUCUCCCUUUCCCUAAACCUCAGCAGCCACUAAUCUGUUGUCAUGUCCAUAAUUUUGUCAUUUUAAUAAAAUCAUGUAAAUGGAAUCA
Long non-coding RNA from Neofelis nebulosa (Clouded leopard), 4861 nucleotides. RefSeq lists it as uncharacterized. The record is from RefSeq and is a predicted model, not a curated record. NCBI's taxonomy places the organism in Eukaryota, Metazoa, Chordata, Mammalia, Carnivora, Felidae. The transcript is spliced from 3 exons.